Molecule: ribosomal RNA, 492 nt
Filed under: uncultured bacterium
Lineage: Bacteria
Description: partial 16S ribosomal RNA
Rfam family: Bacterial small subunit ribosomal RNA
Source: RNAcentral
AGUGAACGCUGGCGGUAUGCCUAACACAUGCAAGUCGAACGGCAGCACAGUAAGAGCUUGCGCUUACGGGUGGCGAGUGGCGGACGGGUGAGGAAGACAUCCGAAUCUACUUUUUCGUGGGGGAUAACGUAGGGAAACUUACUCUAAUACCGCAUACGACCUACGGGUGAAAGCAGGGGAUCUUCUGACCUUGCGCGAUUGAAUGAGCCGAUGUCGGAUUAGCUAGUUGGCGGGGUAAAGGCCCACCAAGGCGACGAUCCGUAGCUGGUCUGAGAGGAUGAUCAGCCACACUGGAACUGAGACACGGUCCAGACUCCUACGGGAGGCAGCAGUGGGGAAUAUUGGACAAUGGGCGAAAGCCUGAUCCAGCCAUACCGCGUGGGUGAAGAAGGCCUUCGGGUUGUAAAGCCCUUUUGUUGGGAAAGAAAAGCAGCAGGUUAAUACCCCGCUGUUCUGACGGUACCCAAAGAAUAAGCACCGGCUAACUUCGUG